Molecule: ribosomal RNA, 255 nt
Filed under: Escherichia coli
Lineage: Bacteria; Pseudomonadati; Pseudomonadota; Gammaproteobacteria; Enterobacterales; Enterobacteriaceae
Description: partial 23S ribosomal RNA
Rfam family: Bacterial large subunit ribosomal RNA
Source: RNAcentral
UACUAUAGCUUGACACUGAACAUUGAGCCUUGAUGUGUAGGAUAGGUGGGAGGCUUAGAAGUGUGGACGCCAGUCUGCAUGGAGCCGACCUUGAAAUACCACCCUUUAAUGUUUGAUGUUCUAACGUUGACCCGUAAUCCGGGUUGCGGACAGUGUCUGGUGGGUAGUUUGACUGGGGCGGUCUCCUCCUAAAGAGUAACGGAGGAGCACGAAGGUUGGCUAAUCCUGGUCGGACAUCAGGAGGUUAGUGCAAUG